This is a non-coding RNA of Schistosoma curassoni, 45 nucleotides long. The record is from Rfam. NCBI's taxonomy places the organism in Eukaryota, Metazoa, Platyhelminthes, Trematoda, Strigeidida, Schistosomatidae.
GUCCUACUGACGAGUCCCAAAUAGGACGAAACGCGCAUCCUGAAU